This 486-nucleotide ribosomal RNA is filed under the name uncultured bacterium. Its description in RNAcentral is "partial 16S ribosomal RNA". It matches the Rfam family "Bacterial small subunit ribosomal RNA", at positions 30 to 507 of the family's 1533-position model. The record is from RNAcentral.
AUUGAACGCUGGCGGCAUGCCUUACACAUGCAAGUCGAACGGCAGCACGGGUGCUUGCACCUGGUGGCGAGUGGCGAACGGGUGAGUAAUACAUCGGAACAUGUCCUGUAGUGGGGGAUAGCCCGGCGAAAGCCGGAUUAAUACCGCAUACGAUCCACGGAUGAAAGCGGGGGACCUUCGGGCCUCGCGCUAUAGGGUUGGCCGAUGGCUGAUUAGCUAGUUGGUGGGGUAAAGGCCUACCAAGGCGACGAUCAGUAGCUGGUCUGAGAGGACGACCAGCAACAAGGGGACUGAGACACGGUCCAGACUCCUACGGGAGGAAGCAGUGGGGAAUUUUGGACAAUGGGCGCAAGCCUGACCCAGCAAUGCCGCGUGUGUGAAGAAGGCCUUCGGGUUGUAAAGCAAUUUUGUCCGGAAAGAAAUCCUUGGCUCUAAUACAGUCGGGAGAUGACGGUACCGGAAGAAUAAGCACCGGCUAACUACGUG